Molecule: ribosomal RNA, 252 nt
Filed under: uncultured bacterium
Lineage: Bacteria
Description: partial 16S ribosomal RNA
Rfam family: Bacterial small subunit ribosomal RNA
Source: RNAcentral
CACGGAGGGGACAAGUGUUACUCGUCAUAAUUGGGCGUAAAGGGUAUGUAGGUGGUUUUUUAAGUUAAGAAUAAAAGGUUUGAUAAAAAAUCAUACAGAGUUUUUAAGACUGAAAUACUAGAGUUUAGUAGAAGAAAAUGGUAUUUAUAUUGUAGAGGUGCAAUUCUGGCAUAAUGUAAAGACAUCCGAAGGCGAAGGCAAUUUUCUAGGUUGGACUGACACUGAGGUACGAAAGCAUAGGGAGCAAAUAGG